This 71-nucleotide transfer RNA is filed under the name Bos taurus (domestic cattle). It matches the Rfam family "tRNA". From Rfam's summary of the family: Transfer RNA (tRNA) molecules are approximately 80 nucleotides in length. Their secondary structure includes four short double-helical elements and three loops (D, anti-codon, and T loops). Further hydrogen bonds mediate the characteristic L-shaped molecular structure. tRNAs have two regions of fundamental functional importance: the anti-codon, which is responsible for specific mRNA codon recognition, and the 3' end, to which the tRNAs corresponding amino acid is attached (by aminoacyl-tRNA synthetases). tRNAs cope with the degeneracy of the genetic code in two manners: having more than one tRNA (with a specific anti-codon) for a particular amino acid; and 'wobble' base-pairing, i.e. permitting non-standard base-pairing at the 3rd anti-codon position. RNAcentral also lists the same sequence under 2 other names. The record is from Rfam by way of RNAcentral. Lineage: Eukaryota; Metazoa; Chordata; Mammalia; Artiodactyla; Bovidae.
UCCUGAUGGCUCAGACGGUAAAGUGUCUGCCUGCAAUGCAGGAGAUCUGGGUUUGAUCCCUGGGUCAGGAA